RNAcentral lists this ribosomal RNA (253 nucleotides) under uncultured bacterium. RNAcentral's name for it is "partial 16S ribosomal RNA". It matches the Rfam family "Bacterial small subunit ribosomal RNA", at positions 524 to 776 of the family's 1533-position model. The record is from RNAcentral.
UACGGAGGGUGCAAGCGUUGCUCGGAAUUAUUGGGCGUAAAGCGCACGCAGGCGGCGAGGUAAGUCAGUUGUGAAAUUCCCGGGCUUAACUUGGGAACUGCAGCUGAUACUGCCUUGCUUGAGUACGGAAGAGGGGAGCGGAAUUCCCAGUGUAGAGGUGAAAUUCGUAGAUAUUGGGAGGAACACCGGUGGCGAAGGCGGCAUCCUGGACCGGCAUUGACGCUGAGGCGCGAAAGCCAGGGGAGCAAACGGG